Molecule: ribosomal RNA, 727 nt
Filed under: Salmonella enterica subsp. enterica serovar Kentucky
Lineage: Bacteria; Pseudomonadati; Pseudomonadota; Gammaproteobacteria; Enterobacterales; Enterobacteriaceae
Description: partial 23S ribosomal RNA
Rfam family: Bacterial large subunit ribosomal RNA
Source: RNAcentral
GCCGACAAGCGGACGGCGCUCGUUACUGAUUGACGGCGUGCCUGUUGCAUACUGCAUCUACGAGUUGCCUUUGCCGGCAAGGUUAAGUGUGACAACACACGUAUCCGAAACGAAAGCGAGUCUGAACAGGGCGUAUAGUCGGCAGUGGCAGACGCGAAACCAAGUGAUCUACCCUUGGCCAGGUUGAAGGCUGGGUAACACCAGCUGGAGGACCGCACCAAUAAGCGUUGAAAAGCUUCUGGAUGAGCCGAGUGUAGGAGUGAAAGGCCAAUCAAACUUGGAGAUAGCUCGUACUCCCCGAAAGGCAUUUAGGUGCCGCGUCGGAUGUUCACCGUGAGAGGUAGAGCGACCGAUAGGACAAGAGGGCUUCACCGCCUAUCGAGUCCUGCCGAACUCCGAAUGCUCACGGUUUGCAGUCCGGCAGUAAGGGGGCGGGUGCUAAGGUCCGUCCCCGAGAGGAGAAGAAUCCAGACCGCCGUCUAAGGUCCCGGAGUUCUGCCUGAGUUAGUCUAACGAAGUCUGGUCCCUAUGACAGCUAGGAUGUUGGCUUGGAAGCAGCCAUUCAUUUAAAGAGUGCGUAACAGCUCACUAGUCGAGGGUCCGGGCAUGGAUAAUAAUCGGGUAUAAGGCAGACACCGAAGGCGCGGGAUAGCAAUCAUAAAAGUAUCGGUAGGGGAGCAUACUCACAGCGUCGAAUGGUGUACGUAAGUUAUCCUGGAGCGGUGAG